UGGAAGUUGGAAUACAUUGGACUAGAUUUUUUCUUCAAGCCGCACAAGACACUGCACUUCUUCAAAGUAUGAUUCCUUCCUUCUCUCUUCCCUUCAGCCUUUAAAAGAAACUGUAGAAAAGGCUAUAGGUAGAAGUGAUAUGAGGGGUGUCGCGUAAAUCCGUGCAUACUUCGGAUCUCAUGGAUACCCGAAUAAAGAAAAAAAAAGAGUAUGAAAAAAAAAGAAAAUUAAAAAGAGAGAAGAAAAAGGAAUCGUUGAAAAAAUAGAAUGAUACCCUAGAAAAUUAGGGAGAUAUCGAUUACCUUAGAAGUGAGAAAAGGGAGAAGAAGUGAAAUCAAUCGAUGAAUGUCUUGGUUUGAGAAGAGUCCAUAUGCCAUUGAUCGAUAUUCCCUCGGUAAGAAUUCACCUUUACUUGUGUUAACUUAUGUAAAGAAAUGACAAUGGAGAGACUAGAGAUUCCUAAGGAUUGUGGGAUUAGAGUAAGGAAUGUUGAUGCUUCUCAUAGGAAAAGUACAUAAAGUAAGUUCUAGAGUCAAGGCGAUGAAGAGUGCAAAGAAGAGUUUUCUGCAGUCGAGUGAGUUCCCGCGUUUUCAAACUUCUUUCACAUGUUAAGUUUCUGAUUUGCUUGAGGGCAAGCAAAGGCUAAGUCUGGGAGAGUUGAUAUAUCAUGGUUUUUACGGGUUUUUGGCCAUGAUAUAAGUCUUAUUUAUAGAGCUUUUAUAGUGUUUUCGAGUCUUUUUGAGUCAUUUCAGGAUUAGGAGCUAUUUGGCAUGGAUUGGAGCUUUUUGGAGAAUUUGGGAGCAUUUGGAGAAGAUGUGCGAAGGAACAUACCAUGAGAGCAUAUUUGGUGUAAGUGUCGAACGUCACAACUUUGGGUGUCGAUCGACACCAAUAUCUGACGGCAAUUGAAUUUCACGCUUAAUUGAAGUUCAGAAGAUUAGCCGAUUCGGCCCAGAAGUUUCUCUUAUUUGCAAUUAAGCCCAGAUCGUGGUUAAGACAUAUAUAUUGAGUUUUUAG
Molecule: long non-coding RNA, 1017 nt
Filed under: Capsella rubella
Lineage: Eukaryota; Viridiplantae; Streptophyta; Magnoliopsida; Brassicales; Brassicaceae
Description: long non-coding RNA (CRUB_LNC003108)
Source: RNAcentral